UGGUACAGUAAGCUGAGGCAGGAGGAUUG
Molecule: non-coding RNA, 29 nt
Filed under: Cricetulus griseus (Chinese hamster)
Lineage: Eukaryota; Metazoa; Chordata; Mammalia; Rodentia; Cricetidae
Source: RNAcentral